RNAcentral lists this ribosomal RNA (301 nucleotides) under uncultured bacterium. RNAcentral describes it as "partial 16S ribosomal RNA". It matches the Rfam family "Bacterial small subunit ribosomal RNA", at positions 509 to 808 of the family's 1533-position model. The record is from RNAcentral.
CAGCGCCGCGGUAAUACGUAGGUGGCAAGCGUUGUCCGGAAUUAUUGGGCGUAAAGGGCUCGCAGGCGGUUUCUUAAGUCUGAUGUGAAAGCCCCCGGCUCAACCGGGGAGGGUCAUUGGAAACUGGGAAACUUGAGUGCAGAAGAGGAGAGUGGAAUUCCACGUGUAGCGGUGAAAUGCGUAGAGAUGUGGAGGAACACCAGUGGGGAAGGCGACUCUCUGGUCUGUAACUGACGCUGAGGAGCGAAAGCGUGGGGAGCGAACAGGAUUAGAUACCCGUGUAGUCCCUGUCUCUUAUACC